UACAGAGGAGCCAAGCGUUGUCCGGAUUGACUGGGCGUAAAGCGCACGCAGGCGGCACCGCGCGUGGGGUGUGAAAUCUGGCCGCUUAACGGCCAGGCGCCAUCCCAUACGGCGGAGCUGGAGUGAUGCAGAGGUCGGUGGAAUUGCCGGUGUAGUGGUGAAAUGCGCAGAUAUCAGGAAGAACACCCGUGGCUAAGGCGGCUCUCUAGUACGGUACUGACGCUGAGACGCGAAAGCGUGGGGAGCGAACAGG
This 253-nucleotide ribosomal RNA is filed under the name uncultured bacterium. Its description in RNAcentral is "partial 16S ribosomal RNA". It matches the Rfam family "Bacterial small subunit ribosomal RNA", at positions 524 to 776 of the family's 1533-position model. The record is from RNAcentral.